This 318-nucleotide long non-coding RNA is filed under the name Gallus gallus (chicken). Lineage: Eukaryota; Metazoa; Chordata; Aves; Galliformes; Phasianidae. The record is from RNAcentral.
CUAUAGGUCUCUAUGGGUCCCUAUGGGGUUUCUAUUGGCUCCUACGUGUCCCUAUGGGUCUUUAUGGGUCCCUAUGGGUCUUCACGUGUCCCCGUGUGUCCCUGCGGGCUCAGCGUGUCCCUUUUGUGUCCCCGUGUGCCCCUAUGGGGCGCCCCACACGCAGGGGGAGGACGCGGAGGCGCGCCGCCUGCUGUCCAUGGCGCUGCGGCAGAGCGACGGCGCGGCGGCGCUGCGGGAGAGCCUGAGGCACGCCGAGGCUGCCGUGCGGUGCCAGCCCUGCGACGGGAGGAACUGGUGUAUGGGGGGCGCUAUGGGGCG